RNAcentral lists this ribosomal RNA (300 nucleotides) under uncultured Pyrobaculum sp. RNAcentral describes it as "partial 16S ribosomal RNA". The stretch from base 52 to 300 matches the Rfam family "Bacterial small subunit ribosomal RNA", at positions 547 to 795 of the family's 1533-position model. Lineage: Archaea; Thermoproteati; Thermoproteota; Thermoprotei; Thermoproteales; Thermoproteaceae. The record is from RNAcentral.
GAGAUCGGCGGGGAGGGGGGGGGGGUAGUGCGGAGGUGGCAUGCGGUAUCCGGCAUGACGGGGGUUAAAGGGUGCGUAGGCGGCUUGAUAAGUCAGAGGGGAAAGCCCGCAGCGUAACUGCGGAACGGGCUUUGAUACUGUUGAGCGUGAAACAGGACGAGGUUGGCGGAAUGUGGCAUGUAGCGGUGAAAUGCAUAGAUAUGCCAUAGAACACCGAUUGCGAAGGCAGCUGGCUAGACCUGAUUUGACGCUGAGGCACGAAAGCGUGGGGAGCGAACAGGAUUAGAUACCCCGGUAGUC